Long non-coding RNA from Carassius gibelio (silver crucian carp), 1239 nucleotides. RefSeq lists it as uncharacterized. The transcript is spliced from 3 exons. NCBI's taxonomy places the organism in Eukaryota, Metazoa, Chordata, Actinopteri, Cypriniformes, Cyprinidae. The record is from RefSeq and is a predicted model, not a curated record.
ACAAAAAUGUAUUUUCGAUGCUUAAAAAAAAUUCUAGCUGACCCUCUGGUGUCACAUCGACUACUUUGAUGAUUUUUUCUUGCCUUUCUGGACAUGGACAGUAGACCUUACACACAGCUUCAAUGGAGGGACUGAGAGCUCUCGGACUAAAUUAUCUUAAACUGUGUUCAGAAGAUAAACGGAGGUCUUACGGGUUUGGAACAACACGAGUGAUGUGCAGACAUAAAAGUCAUUGAGGCAAGAAAACCAGCCGAUCAGUGCGAGUCGGGUCUCUCUUCGAGAGAUCAAAACUCAGCUUGUCAUCUUGGCUAGUAUUCAUUUACAGUAUGGACGAGGGAGAGCAUCAACAACAUGGAGGUGAAAAAAAUGGGUGUUUGGCAUGCUAGGUGUGAGGGAUAAAUGCAGACACCCAAUCUUGCGGCUUGUGAAAAGAAGAUCAAGACCUCACCUCAUCCCCAUAGUUGCAAAACGUGCAUCCAAGGAACUAACAUUAUUCCCGAUGAGUGGAGAGCCUACCGGACGGCUUCGGCCAAUAUGGGCUACAAACAUUUUACAGUGAACCAUUCCUAGUGGUUUGUAGACCCACACAGUGGAGCUCACUCACAACACAUGGAAAGAGCUUGGUUGACAUACAAAACAAGUGUAUGGAGACUAAGAGAGAAUAGGACAGAGAACAUGCUGAAACAUCAACUCUCUCUCAUAGCGUGGACUCGUUGGCUUGGUGAAAAAAAUUAACGGGGGACACUUGGGUGCCUAAUAAAAGAUAUUCACCAUCAAUUUCCUGUUAAGAGGACAACACACUGAACAUUUGAUUGUAAAAUACCUGUUAACUUGUCCCAUUGAUUUAAGGUGCACUGAUAUUUAAAAGUUUUGUUAAAUAAAAUGUGUAUUUUGCCUUUUUAAUUUCUGUGUUUUAAGUGCUGGGUAAUGUGUAUCUUGAAGUAAUCAUCUUGGAUAUACUGUUGCAAAAUAAGAAUCUCCUUGGUAGAUGUUAAUUGAGAUUAUUUAGAUAAUGACUUCACAUUACUACACAUUACUAAAUCAUUAACAGCUCAUAGACUAACAUGAAUUCAUGACUUGUUGAUGUAUCAUUAUGUCAUGACUUUACUGGGGGGGGGGGGGCACAUUAUUACUAACUCAUCAUUAAUUACUGAUAAAGUAACAUGAAUUCAUGACUUGUUGAUGUAUCAUUAUGUCAUGACUUUACUUGGGAGGGCACAUUAUUACUAACUCAUCAUU